Molecule: ribosomal RNA, 410 nt
Filed under: Verrucomicrobiota bacterium
Lineage: Bacteria; Pseudomonadati; Verrucomicrobiota
Description: Verrucomicrobia bacterium partial 16S ribosomal RNA
Rfam family: Bacterial small subunit ribosomal RNA
Source: RNAcentral
UGGGGAAUCUUGCACAAUGGGCGAAAGCCUGAUGCAGCGACGCCGCGUGCGGGAUGAAGGCCUUCGGGUUGUAAACCGCUUUCAGCAGGGACGAGGCCGCAAGGUGACGGUACCUGCAGAAGAAGCCCCGGCUAACUACGUGCCAGCAGCCGCGGUAAUACGUAGGGGGCAAGCGUUAUCCGGAUUCAUUGGGCGUAAAGCGCGCAUAGGCGGUUUGUUAGGUCAGGAGUUAAAUCUGGGGGCUCAACCCCUAUCCGCUCCUGAUACCGGCAGGCUUGAGUCUGGUAGGGGAAGGCGGAAUUCCAAGUGUAGCGGUGAAAUGCGCAGAUAUUUGGAAGAACACCAGUAGCGAAGGCGGCUUUCUGGACUGCAACUGACACUGAGGCACGAAAGCGUGGGUAGCAAACAGG